This is a long non-coding RNA of Cyprinus carpio carpio, 1624 nucleotides long. Lineage: Eukaryota; Metazoa; Chordata; Actinopteri; Cypriniformes; Cyprinidae. The record is from Ensembl.
AUGUUAACUCCGAAUUGCGAGAAAAAAUUCUGGAUUCUGUUCGCAAUUCUGACUUUUUUCCUCAAUCUUUCAAAUCUGAGUUUAUGUCUCGCAAUUCUGACUUUUAUUCUCGAUCUCGCAAUUCUAUUUUUUCCUUUUUUACAUCUUAUAAUUCUGACGUUUGUCUCAAUCUUGCAAUUUUGAAUUUACAUCUCUCAAUUCUGACCUUUUUUUUGCAAUUCUAUUUAAAAAAGUAUUGAGAUAAAAGUUACCUUUUAAAUUUUAUUAUAAGUAUUCAAGGCACAAAUCCGUUUAUUUUUAUUUUAUUUUUUUUGUAAUGCAAACUAUUAAAUAGACUACCUUUCAAAAGUUUGGGGUCGUUUUUAGUUUAGUUUUUAAAAGAAAACUGGAUUCUGUUCGCAAUUCUGACUUUUUUUCUCAAUCUUUCAAAUCUGAGUUUAUAUCUCGCAAUUCUGACUUUUAUUCUCGAUCUCGCAAUUCUUGAAUUUUGAAUUUACAUCUCUCAAUUCUGACCUUUUUUUUUUUUUUUGCAAUUCUAUUUAAAAAAGUCUUGAGAUAAAAGUUACCUUUUAAAUGUUUUAUCCUGUGGCAGAAACAGGCUUCCAUAACAAACAGCAGCAAACAAAAUUGUUUUCAGAUUUGAUUCUGUUUGAUGCUGUUAAUGGUGCCAAAUAUGUUGUUCACUUUCAUGCAGAUUUCUGUCCAAUCCAUAAGCCAUACAGUUAGCUCCACACAUACAGUGCUUUGAAUAUGUUUUAUAAUGCAUUAUUGUGUUUAUCACUUAUUUUGGACAGAAGUUUCUGUAUGUGGGUCAAUAUGAAUUUGAAUGUUGGUGUUGCAGAUAACAAAAAUCAAGCUUGCAUGUGCACAGACAUAUACUGUAUACUGUACUUCACACAAGGAAUAAUGUAGAAGUAGCCAGUCGUUCUUGCAGAGUGAAGUAAAGGCUUGUAUUCUGUGAUCAUGACUGGCUGGCUGUACUUUAUCCUACUUAUUACAAGUCAAUUUACCAAAUACAUAAAUAUAAGCAUAUUUAAGCUUUAAACAAUACAUUUCAGUUGAGCCUUAUUUAUUAGUUUGUGAAAACAACAAUGCAUGAGAAAUUAGCCAAUAAUUCAAAUGCAUUUUCUGUACAUAUUUGAGCAUGUGAUAAUAAUAAAAAAUUGCAUUGAUUCAUGUACAGUGCUGACAAGGUUUAAUGGGCAGAUGGCAGAUUAGGCAGCACUGCAUUAUGGGAUGUCAACAGGCAGAUACGUUUGAUGAUAUUAUUUCACAUUAAACAUUUACCUGCAUUUUACAAGCAGUUAUGCAAUGCCUUAAAUAUUAGGAAAAAAUGCAGAAAUGCAAAGCAAGCAAUGAAGUGUCCUCAGUGUACAGUAAGUUUAAAAUAGAUAUCUGCAUUGUUAAAAAUGUUAAGACACGUGAGAACUGAAUAAAAAAAGUGUCAAAUAUUGUGUGAAUUUACAUUGCAGUGUUUUUAUUUUAUUUUAUUAUUAUUAUUAUUAUUACAUGUGUAGUUCUACAAGUUUGUUAUAAUUAAGUGACAAUGGUUUGCUGUGAUUCAAUUACAUCUUUAAUUUUUAAAAUUAAUAUGUUGCCUACCCUAAAAAAAGGUCAAGAUUAC